Molecule: ribosomal RNA, 435 nt
Filed under: uncultured bacterium
Lineage: Bacteria
Description: partial 16S ribosomal RNA
Rfam family: Bacterial small subunit ribosomal RNA
Source: RNAcentral
AGCGAACGCUGGCGGCAGGCUUAACACAUGCAAGUCGAGCGGGCACUCUCGGGUGUCAGCGGCGGACGGGUGAGUAACGCGUGGGAACGGGCCCUUUGGUUCGGAAUUACUCAGGGAAACUUGAGCUAAUACCGGAUACGCCCCUUUUGGCACAGGCUUGCUGCCGGAGGAUCGGCCCGCGUCUGAUUCGUUAGUUGGUAGGGUGACGGCUCACCAAGGCGACAAUCAGUAGCUGGGCUGAGAGGCUGAGCAGACACACCGGGACUGGGACACGGCCCAGACUCCUACGGGAGGCAGGAGUGGGGAAUAUUGGAAAACGGGCGCAAGGCUGAUCCAGCCAUGGCGCGUGAGUGAUGAAGGCCUUAGGGUUGUAAAGCUCUUUUAUCCGGGACGAUAAUGACGGUACCGGAGGAAUAAGCCCCGGCUAACUUCGUG